RNAcentral lists this unclassified non-coding RNA (313 nucleotides) under uncultured fungus. RNAcentral's name for it is "partial contains 5.8S ribosomal RNA and internal transcribed spacer 2". The stretch from base 1 to 133 matches the Rfam family "5.8S ribosomal RNA", at positions 22 to 154 of the family's 154-position model. Lineage: Eukaryota; Fungi. The record is from RNAcentral.
UGGUUCUGGCAUCGAUGAAGAACGCAGCGAAAUGCGAUAAGUAAUGUGAAUUGCAGAAUUCAGUGAAUCAUCGAAUCUUUGAACGCACAUUGCGCCCUUUGGUAUUCCGAAGGGCAUGCCUGUUCGAGCGUCAUUUCAACCCUCAAGCUCUGCUUGGUAUUGGGCCUCGCCGGUUCUGGCGGGCCUUAAAAUCAGUGGCGGUGCCAUACGGCUCUAAGCGUAGUAAUUUUCUCGCUACAGGUGCCGCGUGGAGACCUGCCAGCAACUCCCACUUUUUAAGGUUGACCUCGGAUCAGGUAGGGAUACCCGCUGA